AGUGAUUCCUACGGGAGGCAGCAGUGGGGAAUAUUGCACAAUGGGGGAAACCCUGAUGCAGCGACGCCGCGUGAGUGAGGAAGUAUUUCGGUAUGUAAAGCUCUAUCAGCAGGGAAGAUAAUGACGGUACCUGACUAAGAAGCCCCGGCUAACUGCGUG
Molecule: ribosomal RNA, 159 nt
Filed under: uncultured Clostridium sp.
Lineage: Bacteria; Bacillati; Bacillota; Clostridia; Eubacteriales; Clostridiaceae
Description: partial 16S ribosomal RNA
Rfam family: Bacterial small subunit ribosomal RNA
Source: RNAcentral